This 869-nucleotide long non-coding RNA is filed under the name Marmota marmota marmota (Alpine marmot). RNAcentral describes it as "lncRNA (ENSMMMG00000020652.1)". Lineage: Eukaryota; Metazoa; Chordata; Mammalia; Rodentia; Sciuridae. The record is from RNAcentral.
ACUUCAAUUUCUUUUACCCUUACAGUAUAACGCAUCCCAUGAGGAGUCCCAGAGUCUUCCUGGAGAAGUUCAGGGUCAAUGCUAGCAGAAUAAGGAGAUUUGUAGCAGUUGCCAUUUGUAGCGAUAGGCUUCUGGUGAAGGUCUGGGCGAGUCCCUGGUAGGGUGCCCCAGGCCUCUCUCGCAUUCUUCUCCUAUUGAGUAUUUUUAUUAACGACUUGGACGAGGACUCUGGCAACUUUCGGAUUCAAUCCGUGGAUGACGCGAAGCUGGGAGGUUAGAAUCAAUCAUCAAGAAGGUCAGCAAAGGCACCGCCUUGUCUCCGCCGCAGAGAGAGGAGGGAAGUGGAGGGGCAUCCUGAGAAGGCCACCUCUCACAUGGAGCUUUUGCUUUCUUUACCUUCCAGGAGGAGGGGGACCUGGCACUGUGUCGCCGAGGGACCUGCUGGCUGGUCAGCCCACCAAGCAGCGCCCUGGAGGGCAGGCCCAGGUCCUGGUCAUCUCCGCUGGCCUCAGGCUUGCCCUCCCUUCAGGGCUGAAUCCUGCUACACGAGAUGGAGGCUUGCCUCACCUGGACCAGCAGUUCAUCUGUUACCUGUCAGCCCACCCUCCCUCUCUCGCCUCACCCCACCCCCAGCUGCUCAGAAAAGGAGGGAUCAAGCCGGGUAAACGUCUUAUGCCUGUGAUCCCUGCGAUUCAGGAUUCUGAGGCAGGAGGAUGGCAAGUUCGAGACCAGCCUGGGUUUAGUGAGAUUCUGCCUCAAAAGCAAAUAAAAAGGGGUGGGGAAAACUGGGAUAGCAUGUGAGAGGCCAGGGUUCAAUUCCCAGAACCGUAAACAAUAAAUAAACAAUUUAAAAACUAGAAAACUAUAUC